This is a long non-coding RNA of Herpailurus yagouaroundi (jaguarundi), 432 nucleotides long. RefSeq lists it as uncharacterized. The record is from RefSeq and is a predicted model, not a curated record. The transcript is spliced from 2 exons. Lineage: Eukaryota; Metazoa; Chordata; Mammalia; Carnivora; Felidae.
CUCUGGGCUAUGAACCCCAGCUUCAGCUCUGCGAGGCAGAUUGCAUCAUCCCCCUCUUUCCAGUUCCAGCUUGGGAUGUUUAGCAGAUGCGCCUGUGGAAGCAAAAGCAAGUGGAAGUUAUCAAGAAGCCCACAUAUUGAACAUGUUUGAAUGCAGUUAGAGUUGAUGGAUGGGGAGAAGUCGCCUCUCUAACUCAGCAUCUGCAUUAGAAGAUCUGCUCUCACCAGCCUACGUCUGAGGAAGCACCAGGGGCCUGCAGGAGUACAAGGGAUGGAUGGCAAAAAGGGAAAUUUAUUUUCCAGAAACAUUUGCAAGACUUUCGAAAAUUCCAGGGACAGCAGUUUGGGGAAGGAUGUUAUUUCAGGGAGAAGAGAAGCAGAAUUUCUUAUGUCCUCUGUGAUUGAAAAUAUAAUUGAAAAUAUUCAAGACUGA